Molecule: non-coding RNA, 35 nt
Filed under: Trypanosoma brucei brucei
Lineage: Eukaryota; Euglenozoa; Kinetoplastea; Trypanosomatida; Trypanosomatidae
Source: RNAcentral
GUAAAUCAACAGAACCGUCAUCUUUUGUAGUAUAG